RNAcentral lists this ribosomal RNA (427 nucleotides) under uncultured Gammaproteobacteria bacterium. RNAcentral describes it as "bacterial SSU rRNA". It matches the Rfam family "Bacterial small subunit ribosomal RNA", at positions 1 to 396 of the family's 1533-position model. The record is from RNAcentral. Lineage: Bacteria; Pseudomonadati; Pseudomonadota; Gammaproteobacteria.
AUAUGGUCGACCUGCAGGCGGCCGCGAAUUCACUAGUGAUUAGAGUUUGAUCAUGGCUCAGAUUGAACGCUGGCGGCAGGCCUAACACAUGCAAGUCGAGCGGUAGAGAGAAGCUUGCUUCUCUUGAGAGCGGCGGACGGGUGAGUAAUGCCUAGGAAUCUGCCUGGUAGUGGGGGAUAACGUUCGGAAACGGACGCUAAUACCGCAUACGUCCUACGGGAGAAAGCAGGGGACCUUCGGGCCUUGCGCUAUCAGAUGAGCCUAGGCCGGAUUAGCUAGUUGGUGGGGUAAUGGCUCACCAAGGCGACGAUCCGUAACUGGUCUGAGAGGAUGAUCAGUCACACUGGAACUGAGACACGGUCCAGACUCCUACGGGAGGCAGCAGUGGGGAAUAUUGGACAAUGGGCGAAAGCCUGAUCCAGCCAUG